This 610-nucleotide ribosomal RNA is filed under the name uncultured bacterium. Its description in RNAcentral is "bacterial SSU rRNA". It matches the Rfam family "Bacterial small subunit ribosomal RNA", at positions 338 to 948 of the family's 1533-position model. The record is from RNAcentral.
CCUACGGGAGGCAGCAGUGAGGAAUAUUGGACAAUGGGCGCAAGCCUGAUCCAGCCAUGCCGCGUGCAGGAAGAAGCAUCUAUGGUGUGUAAACUGCUUUUGUACAGGAAGAAACACUCCCUCGUGAGGGAGCUUGACGGUACUGUAAGAAUAAGGACCGGCUAACUCCGUGCCAGCAGCCGCGGUAAUACGGAGGGUCCGAGCGUUAUCCGGAAUCAUUGGGUUUAAAGGGUCCGUAGGCGGUUUAAUAAGUCAGUGGUGAAAUCUGGUCGCUCAACGAUCAAACGGCCAUUGAUACUGUUAGACUUGAAUUAUAAGGAAGUAACUAGAAUAUGUAGUGUAGCGGUGAAAUGCUUAGAUAUUACAUGGAAUACCAAUUGCGAAGGCAGGUUACUACUUAUGGAUUGACGCUGAUGGACGAAAGCGUGGGGAGCGAACAGGAUUAGAUACCCUGGUAGUCCACGCCGUAAACGAUGGAUACUAGCUGUUCGGAGCAAUCUGAGUGGCUAAGCGAAAGUGAUAAGUAUCCCACCUGGGGAGUACGUUCGCAAGAAUGAAACUUAAAGGAAUUGACGGCUGAGACCGNGCGAGACGACGACGAGGGAGGAGG